CAAAAUUCAAAUUUGGAGGUGGCAAUAUCAACUCCCUGUAAUAGAAUAUAUCCCUAUAUCUACAACUAUAUCCUCUUUAUACAUGCGCUCUCUGUCUUGGUGGCGCAUCUGUUAAUCGAUUUCUCAAUCGUUUUCCAUAAGAGGAAGAAAUCGGUUUCUGAACCUUUUUUUCCCCCCCCUGUUUUUUGGCAUUUGCUGGGUCUGAUAAUACUCGCAUAUCAAAUAAAGCGACUAUUGAGAAAAAGGAAAGCGAAAGAAAAGAAAAAAGGGGCCCCUUCUCCUAGAUCAUAUCCCAUUCGAAUUUUCUGUCCAUUUGUUCGCUUGUUCUCUCUGUCGAUCAGAAGGUGAAUUUUUUCAUCUGGGUUUAUGGUUAUUAUUUUUCUGUUGUUGAAAAUACAUUUUCCAGUGUUUUCUAUUUAAAUUUUCUGUAUACAUUUUUCGAGAUUUUUAGAAUUUCAUCGCUCGCUCUUUCUGUCGCUCCAAAUGUAAUUUUUUUUAAUCAUUUUUUUUUUGGGGAAGAAAAGUACAUGUUUGCAGUGCUUUUAAUUUAAAAUUUCUGGAUGCAUUUCUAUAGGAUUCUUGAAAUUUUAUGCGAAGUGUGCUUUAUGAUAUUCUCUUUGUUACUUGAUUGUGUUUUUCUAACAAGAGUUUUCUUGAAUUGAUUUCUGUUUGUUGUAUUGAAAUGGAGGUUUCUUUUCUUGAGUUUGAGUGUUGCAUUCUUUGGGUUAUACUCAUUUCUGAUUUGAAAAGUACCUCUUUUCCUAUUUAUUAUGUUCUAGUAAAGUUCUUUAAUUUGAUGCUCUGAUUUAUGAGUUUGAAUUUUUUAUUUUUUAUUUUUGUCAUGAUCUUCCCUUGAAAGAUCAGAUUUCUCUUUGUGCCAAGAUUUAAAUGUGUAUAUUUCAUGGUUAGGGCCUGAGAGUUCUUGUGAGGUGACGUGUCUUAUGCUUCAUGUGCUUGUUUAUCAUAAUUGUGUCGUUCUUUGGAACUGUCCUCACAUUACCAUGUAACCAUAAGCCUGUGCAGUUUUUAUAGAAACUUCUAUUGAUGUAUGGAACUUAUUAGAUUUUUCGAUGGUGGAAUUGGUAAGUCAAUCGGAGAAGGUGGAAUUUCAAUUUAGGAGUUUAGAUUCAAUGUUAAUGGGAUUUGCCGAUUUGGUAUAUGUGGAUUCGAUCUAUGUGAUGAUCUAUUUGGCUGAUUUUGCAUUUUGCCUUUGGUAUGCAAUAGAGAUCUGUAGCUUGAAUAUCGGUUAAUACAAACUUAAAGAACGAAUAGAUAAGUUAGUCAUGGCUUAUCACUAUUUGAUUAUUUUCAAUGUUUACAUUUCCUGCUUAUCUACAUGAUUUGGUGGCGAUCUAAUCUUUAGUGCUAAUUCUAUUAUCUUGCAGGGAUUUUCUAUUGUGAUUGUUAUCACGUCUGCGGAACUACUAGAACAGUAAUUUUGUAAAGCAGGCUGAAAGUACUGAUUUCUUCUUGUCAGCAUAGUUACAGGCUUUCCAGAAACUUCAACUUGCCCUGCUAUGGUAAUUUUUAGGAUUUUUAAUUUUUAUCUGUUACUCUGGAUGUUUUAUGCACCAUCAUCCUGCUACAAAAGUGUGUUUGGUGAAUGGGUUGUUUGCAGCAAGAACCCAACUUAAUGACCAGAAUAUUACAUGUAUGAAGUAAGAAAUGUAGUUGGGAGACAUAUUGAAGUUUGAAUUGGUACGGUGAGAAUGAAUUUGAACACAAUUUUUGCUUUUUGUGAAAAAGAUACCGUUUCCCUUUGUCCCAUGCAAAAAUUCCUAAUAUGGUGGAAUAUGGAUUAGUAAUUUAGAGAAACUGAAGUAGGUAUUUUUGUGCUUGAUUUUGGUAGAUUUCAUUAUGAAUUUGGAAUGGUUUCAGAUCUUUACAUAUUUCCUCUUGUUGAUGUAGGCAACAAAUGAAAAUCUUCCUCCAAAUGUGAUAAAACAGUUGGCAAGAGAACUGAAAAAUCUCGAUGAAACACCACCAGAGGGCAUGUG
This 1997-nucleotide long non-coding RNA is filed under the name Olea europaea subsp. europaea. The record is from RNAcentral. Lineage: Eukaryota; Viridiplantae; Streptophyta; Magnoliopsida; Lamiales; Oleaceae.